AACAGUUCCCACUGGUUGGCCAUGGAUAAGCUGUGUAGAUGCCUGUAUAUACGACAUUUCAAAUGUUGUUUGGCAACAGUUUCACCUGCUCCUGAGUUUUUGUUUACAAUUGUGCUCUUGAACUGUAAAUAAUGAGCAUCGUUCGCGGAGAGGAUGUCUCGUUGACGGUGUCAGAGCAAGUUCUGUCAGCUUGCGCUGGGGCUUUAGUAACAUCUCUGUUUGUUACUCCAUUAGAUGUUGUGAAGAUACGACUUCAAGUGCAAGAAAAGGUUGGCCCUGGAAAAAAAUGUUUCCAGCAUUAUAGUUGUUUAUGGGAUAAUUUAUGCUACUGCAUCCAAGAACAUGGAUGCAAACGCUGUGAGUGGUAUAAAACAGAAAGGCAGUUUAAGGGAACUUUGGAUGCAUUUAUGAAAAUAUCCAAGUAUGAAGGCAUAACAUCACUGUGGAGUGGUCUUUCUCCCACUCUAGUGAUGGCCAUACCUGCAACAGUAAUAUAUUUUACCAUGUAUGAACAGAUCCGUGAUAAUACAAUGAAAACUCUGGUUCCACCAUUGCAUCCUUACUGGGUUCCUAUGAUGUCUGGAAUUAGUGCAAGAGUUCUGACUGUUACAGCUAUAAGUCCUAUAGAAUUUUUACGCACUAAAUUGCAGUCAGAAAGGGUAAAAUAUUCAGAUGUAUAUAAAAGUUUAGUACAGCUAGUAAAGCAGAGAGGUUUAAUAUCUCUGUGGCAUGGAUGGGUUCCAACACUUCUGAGAGAUGUACCUUUUUCUGCUAUAUAUUGGUCAAUAUAUGAGCACCUGAAGUUAUUGAAACCAGAGCCUAGUUUCACGCAUUCAUUUGUAUUUGGAGCACUUUCUGGAACUGUAGCUGCUGCUUUUACUACUCCAUUUGAUGUAAUAAAAACACAUCGUCAGGCUCAGCUUGGGGAAGCUGCGCUUUUGCACAAAGCUGUAAAGACUAGCACCUUUUCACUGAUUAUGACCCUAUAUAGACAAGGGAAAACAAAAUCACUCUUAGCAGAUAAAGUAAGAAAAGGUAGGAGCUAUGUGCGACAUAUUACUCCCAGACCCUCUGACUGAAGUACCUGCAUUUUAAUUGUAAGCCAUGCCAUGCUUUUGUCAAUCAGCCGAUCCAAAUAAUGUAUUUACAAAUGUAGACUUUCCUUUUUUAGAGGUGUUUACUUCCCCGAAUAAUGAAAGUAGCUCCAUCGUGUGCCAUAAUGAUUUCUUCUUAUGAGUUUGGAAAGAGUUACUUCAAAAAGCGAAGAGCAAAAGCAAAAGAUUAACUUCUUUGCAAAUUAUCUUUAGGG
RNAcentral lists this unclassified non-coding RNA (1309 nucleotides) under Stegodyphus dumicola. RNAcentral's name for it is "solute carrier family 25 member 40-like, transcript variant X1". The record is from RNAcentral. Lineage: Eukaryota; Metazoa; Arthropoda; Arachnida; Araneae; Eresidae.